Molecule: ribosomal RNA, 749 nt
Filed under: Siphula ceratites
Lineage: Eukaryota; Fungi; Ascomycota; Lecanoromycetes; Pertusariales; Icmadophilaceae
Description: SSU rRNA
Rfam family: Eukaryotic small subunit ribosomal RNA
Source: RNAcentral
UCAGUUAUCGUUUAUUUGAUAGUACCUUACUACUUGGAUAACCGUGGUAAUUCUAGAGCUAAUACAUGCUGAAAACCUCGACUUCGGAAGGGGUGUAUUUAUUAGAUAAAAAGCCAAUGCCCUUCGGGGCUUUCUGGUGAUUCAUAAUAACUCAACGAAUCGCAUGGCCUUGCGCCGGCGAUGGUUCAUUCAAAUUUCUGCCCUAUCAACUUUCGAUUGUUGGGUAGUGGCCAACAAUGGUGUUUACGGGUAACGGGGAAUUAGGGUUCUAUUCCGGAGAGGGAGCCUGAGAAACGGCUACCACAUCCAAGGAAGGCAGCAGGCGCGCAAAUUAUCCAAUCCCGACACGGGGAGAUAGUGACAAUAAAUACUGAUCUGGGGGUCUUUAGGCUCUCAGAAUUGGAAUGAGAACAAUUUAAAUCCCUUAACGAGGAACAAUUGGAGGGCAAGUCUGGUGCCAGCAGCCGCGGUAAUUCCAGCUCCAAUAGCGUAUAUUAAAUUUGUUGCAGUUAAAAAGCUCGUCGUUGAAACUUGGAUCUGGUCGGUCGGUCCGCCUUAUCGCGUGCACUGAUUCGACCGGAUCUUUCCUUCUGGGGAAGCGCAUGCCCUUUAUUGGGCGUGUCGGGGAACCAGGACUUUUACUUUGAAAAAAUUAGAGUGUUCAAAGCAGGCCUAUGCUCGAAUACAUUAGCAUGGAAUAAUGGAAUAGGACGUGUGGUUCUAUUUUGUUGGUUUCUAGGACCGCCGUA